AUGUUCAGAGGGAGAUGAUGCCACAUCUGGUCCAGCUGAUGGAAGGUCUUGAAGUUCUCUGACUGACCUCGACUGAAGAUGGUCGUCUCACUGGAUUUAAGGUUCAGAUGCUCAGUAACAAACUCCACCAAUGAGCCAACAGAUGCACAAUGAGGGACGUCUGCAGAGACUGAGAAAGAGUCUCACCACAUCCUGACAUGAGGAAAAAGACUUUAUUGAAGACUACAAUGAGAAAAACUAUCAGACAGCAGACGGCUGCAUUCAAGAGAAGAAGACCAUCAAACAUCCACGUCAGCUGAUGGAGGUCCAAGAGUCUCACUGAACAACCAACCUACAGAGUGAAGACCUCAAAUCUGAUUGGACGGCCUCCUAUUCAGCCACAUGUGUGAACAAAUGCCUCUAAGCUGAUUUGUUUUCUAAAAUAAAUCUAGUUUGAGUCCUAAUCUAUGCCUGUUUGCUUCUUUACACAGCUGUUAACAGUUUAGGCUGUUAGAUUGUUCCAGAUAAGACAAGUACAAGAUUCUUCAGAGCCGUUCUACCACGAGCCUGACAGGAAGAACUCCAACAGCUACUGAAUGUUCCUGUGGUUCCCUCAAGGCUACAGGAGGAGUCCUACGAGGACGAGCCGGUCCACCUGAUGGCGGCCAGUCGCUGCGGUUCAAAGCCAACACCGACUACGUGGACUUCUACUGGACCACAUGGAGGCCUUCAAACCGGACCAACAAGUUCAGCGACUCCCCGACUCGUGGGUCUGAGGACACCGCCGAGCCUCGGUCCAGCCGGCCUCCUGUCUGUGGGUGUUUGAGUGCUGAGAGGUUUGUGGAUGCACGUGAACGUUCUGUGUUGAAACAGCAGCUUUGGACUCAGUAACGCCAGGAAAAACCAAGAGCUCCUUUAUUUGUGACUUCCACUAAAAAA
Molecule: long non-coding RNA, 918 nt
Organism: Amphiprion ocellaris (clown anemonefish)
Lineage: Eukaryota; Metazoa; Chordata; Actinopteri; Pomacentridae
Source: Ensembl